GCUUGAGUGGCGGAAUGGUAGACGCUGCGGACUUAAAAUCCGCUGGCUUUAAACAGCCGUACGGGUUCAAGUCCCGUCUCGAGCA
This 85-nucleotide transfer RNA is filed under the name Opitutales bacterium. RNAcentral's name for it is "tRNA-Leu". It matches the Rfam family "tRNA". From Rfam's summary of the family: Transfer RNA (tRNA) molecules are approximately 80 nucleotides in length. Their secondary structure includes four short double-helical elements and three loops (D, anti-codon, and T loops). Further hydrogen bonds mediate the characteristic L-shaped molecular structure. tRNAs have two regions of fundamental functional importance: the anti-codon, which is responsible for specific mRNA codon recognition, and the 3' end, to which the tRNAs corresponding amino acid is attached (by aminoacyl-tRNA synthetases). tRNAs cope with the degeneracy of the genetic code in two manners: having more than one tRNA (with a specific anti-codon) for a particular amino acid; and 'wobble' base-pairing, i.e. permitting non-standard base-pairing at the 3rd anti-codon position. The record is from RNAcentral. Lineage: Bacteria; Pseudomonadati; Verrucomicrobiota; Opitutia; Opitutales.